This 1374-nucleotide long non-coding RNA is filed under the name Nicotiana benthamiana. Its description in RNAcentral is "long non-coding RNA (NBEN_LNC018471)". Lineage: Eukaryota; Viridiplantae; Streptophyta; Magnoliopsida; Solanales; Solanaceae. The record is from RNAcentral.
AGGACCUUUGCUACUAUAAAAUCAUGAUGAAGUGUGUGACCAUCUCAUCUAAAAGCUUAAUUAUAUAAGUUAAUAGAGAGGACACACUUUUUAUUUAUUUAAUUAUGUCUCAACACUUAACAAUGAAAUUUCUUACUUCAUUAAAAAAAACACGAUAACUUCAUUCACGUACAGAAAAUUGGAGAUUGUUCACUAAUAUGAGUCAAUCAACUUCCUUGGCAACUAAACAUCAGUUACAAUUUUCACCCAUCUUGAAUAAGCAAAACUAAACCUUGUGCACAGAAGGUAGGGCAACCUGGAACUCCUCACACUAAGCCACCCAUAUGCAACAAUGCGCUCUAAGCAUUGAAGCUUAUUACGAAGCCAACUCUUUCGCACUGAGAUAAAUGUAAUCUUUUCUACACAUCAUAGCAAAAAUUAGUCAACUUCUUUCUCUUUCUCUUUUGCCCUCAUUGAGGGAAAUAACUAUCUCCGCAAGUUUUAGUCAUCAUCAACAAUCAAUUCAUGCCAUUUAGCACAUUAUAACUCUUAAUAAGAAAAGAAAUCUGAUAUCCCAAAAAACAUAAAUCAACCAUCAAAAUGAGGAUUUCCAACUAUUCAAAGAUAUAAAUUAAUAUAAAAGAACACCAAAAUAACAAGAAAACGACUCAUAUCAUUGAUCAAUCAAGAUGAAAAGUGGACCUCAGAAGUUGAAUCUGAAACUUUAAUGCUUAGACUGCAUUGAAAUUCAUAAGCGACAAGAUCACGAACAAGACCUCGACGGAAACCUUCAAACUCGAAUGGAUCUGCUCGGAGUUCUCUCAAGCGAGAGAGAAGGAAAGUCGAGAGGAGCAGAUUUUACUUUUUAUAGUGUCAAAUCCAUAUAUGAUCUUUCUUUGAAAACAAACCAAAAGGUUGAGCAACGUUCAUAAAGAGAGGGUCACUGGUUUUCAUGGAGUUUCACCGGAUUUCAUAGUAUUUCCGGCAAGUCUCUGUCUUCCCUGUUCCAGAUUUCUCAACCCUUUUUCUGCUUAAUUUAGUCUGUGGCCGCUGUUGGUUGUUUGGAAUCAGGGGAUAGGCAGCUGUGUGUUUGGAGGAAGUUCUCGGUAGGUUUCUUGUUUGUCGCGGCUGUUGAUGUUGAAGAGAGUGUUGUUAGGCGUUGAAGAAAGGGGUAGAGAUUAAAGGGGAUGGCUGUUUGGCUCAGGUUGGAGUGUUGGUGGAGUGGUAUUUGUGUUAUGAAGUUGAAGGAAGAAGAAUGACGGGGAAGGGGGGUCUCAAUUGAAAAAGAGGACGACAAGGGAGGGUCUGUCCUUUUGUCAAAAAUGGUGGAUCCAUCUCUUAGGGUCUAGGUUCUGUAUAGGCCUAGAUAUAGGGUUAUUGAAGGGUUAUUUUAGG